UACGUAGGGUGCGAGCGUUAAUCGGAAUUACUGGGCGUAAAGCGUGCGCAGGCGGUUGUGCAAGACCGAUGUGAAAUCCCCGGGCUUAACCUGGGAACUGCAUCCGAAACUGGGGAGCUAGAGUACUGGAGAGGGUGGUAGAAUUCCACGUGUAGCGGUGAAAUGCGUAGAGAUGUGGAGGAAUACCAGUGGCGAAGGCGGCCACCUGGACAGUAACUGACGCUGAGGUGCGAAAGCGUGGGGAGCAAACAGGAUUAGAAACCCGGGUAGU
This 271-nucleotide ribosomal RNA is filed under the name uncultured bacterium. RNAcentral's name for it is "partial 16S ribosomal RNA". It matches the Rfam family "Bacterial small subunit ribosomal RNA", at positions 524 to 794 of the family's 1533-position model. The record is from RNAcentral.